This is a non-coding RNA of Pelobates cultripes (western spadefoot toad), 269 nucleotides long. Lineage: Eukaryota; Metazoa; Chordata; Amphibia; Anura; Pelobatidae. The record is from the annotation of a GenBank genome assembly.
UGGGUGACUAGUGACAGAGUGAGGGAAUGGGUGACUAGUGGCAGAGUGAGGGAGGGAAGAGAUGACUAGUGGCAAAGUGAGGGAGGGAAGGUGACUAGUGACAGAGUGAGGGGAUGACUGGUGACAGAGUGAGGGGGGUGACUGUCACUAGUCACCCCAUCCCUCUCUCUGUCACUAGUCACUCCCUCCCUAACUCUGUCACUGUGUCACCCGCUCCCUCACUCUGUCACUGUGUCACCCCAUCCCUCUCUCUGUCACUAGUCACCCCA